RNAcentral lists this ribosomal RNA (401 nucleotides) under uncultured bacterium. Its description in RNAcentral is "bacterial SSU rRNA". It matches the Rfam family "Bacterial small subunit ribosomal RNA", at positions 355 to 773 of the family's 1533-position model. The record is from RNAcentral.
UGGGGAAUAUUGGACAAUGGGCGAAAGCCUGAUCCAGCCAUGCCGCGUGAGUGACGAAGGUCUUCGGAUUGUAAAGCUCUUUUGGCGGGGACGAUAAUGACGGUACCCGCAGAAUAAGCCCCGGCUAACUUCGUGCCAGCAGCCGCGGUAAUACGAAGGGGGCUAGCGUUGUUCGGAAUUACUGGGCGUAAAGCGCACGUAGGCGGAUUUGUAAGUCAGGGGUGAAAUCCCGGGGCUCAACCUCGGAACUGCCUUUGAUACUGCAAGUCUUGAGUCCGGAAGAGGUGAGUGGAAUUCCUAGUGUAGAGGUGAAAUUCGUAGAUAUUCGCAAGAACACCAGUGGCGAAGGCGGCUCACUGGCCCGAUACUGACGCUGAGGCACGAAAGCGUGGGGAGCAAAC